This 1885-nucleotide long non-coding RNA is filed under the name Homo sapiens (human). RNAcentral describes it as "HSALNT0094255". Lineage: Eukaryota; Metazoa; Chordata; Mammalia; Primates; Hominidae. The record is from RNAcentral.
AUGGAUUGGAGAGAGAGGAAGGGUGAGAAUUUCUCGCACACUCUCUCCUAGAGCUUGGCAGUGCUUGUCUGUCCGUGGAUGUCAGAGCUCUAGGUCUUCCACCUUUGUACUCUAGGACUCAUACCAGCAGUUCCUAGGCUCUCCAGCCUUCAGCCUUGGACUGAGAAUGUUACCACCAGCUUCCCUGAUUCCCAGGCCUUCGGACUUGGUCUGAACCACACUACCGGCUUUCUUGGUUCUUCAGCUUCCAGAUGGCCUAUUGUGGGAUUUCUCAGCCUCUGUAAUUGUAGUCUUCAGGUUUUUCCAUAUAUAACAUCAUAUCAUCUGCAAACAAGGACAAUCUGACUUCUUCCUUUAUGAACUUUGGAGAAGUUUCCUGUCUGUAAAAAGGAGUCUCCCAUCAGCCUUUGCAGGGAAUUUCAGAAGGACUCUCUCUCACCAUAGACAUCAAAGCUGGGAAUGUGCUGAAUUUCACCUGAAGUCAGCAAGUCUGUCUCACCCAAGGCCCUCAACAUAGUACUUGCUUAUUGCUGCUGGUUCUUCAAGGUCCAAAUGCUCUUCAGUUAGCAGGUGAUAAAUCCUGUCAGAACUGCCUCCUUCCCUUCAAGAAAGUAAGUUCCCUUCUGGCCCAGGGUGUGUCUAGAAAUGUCUUCCAGGAACUAAAGCCCAGAAAGGAGGCCUCACCACUCUGAUACCCUAUCCUGCUGGUAUCCAAGAUGCAAGACCAAGUCCUCCCCAUCCUUCCCUCUCCUCACCUCAAGCAGAAGGAAGGGGUCUGUUUUAGAGCCAUGAGGUGUGUAGCCUUGGAUUAUGGGAGGGGUGAUGCCAGCACACCCUUAGCCACCCCACCUUGUUUCUCAGUAGGUUGCAUGCCCCCUUCACAUGGUGCGCUGGCCCUAAGUUCAGUUCAGCAUUAGGACUUGCCUUGCAGUUGCUAUCCUUGUGGUCUACCUUGCCUUUCAAGUUUACUUAGGGCUCCAGAGUACUUUCACCUGCUAUGAUGAGGCUUUUGUGGGAAGUUAAGUUCUGACCACUAAGAUCUGUGAUUUGCCUCUGGCUAGGGGUUGUUUGAAUGCUCCCUCAGUGGCAAGGCACCCCCUGAGUUUGGUCUGGGUUUUCUUUCUGCUUUAACAGGGCAGUCCUGGAUUCAGUGCCUCGCAUUUGUGGUGCUCUCCCUCUCCCCAUUGCAAGGAAACACUCUCUGCACCAUGCUGCCCCUGCCAGGGGAUGGGAGACGGAUGGUGUCAGUGAUUUAAGAUUUCUUUCCUACCUAAGUGCCUCUUUCAGGAAUAUAAAGUUAAAACCAGGUACUGUGAAUACUAACCUGAUUUUUGUGGUUCUUAUGAAGGUGCUUUUUUUGUGUAGACAGUUGUUAAAUUGGUGUCUUUGUGUGAGAGACAAUUGGUGGAGCCUUCUUUCUCUGCCCCAACUCCCUAUAGGGUAUUUAGUAGCAUUCCUGGUCCAUACUAAUUAGAUGAAAGUAGCAACUGCUUUCACCCUCAUUUGUUGCAAUUAAAAAUAUCUCCAAACAUUGCCAAAUGUCUUCCCAGAGGAAAAAUCAACACUGGCUUAGAAUGACUAUUGUAGAUAUAUUUUAUAGGCAAAGCCAAAAAAAAAAAAAAAAAGGACUGGAAAGAGAUGUGUCCAGUGUGAUGCAUUAAUUGGAAGACAGUUAAACUUUUGUCACUAUCAGACAAAGCAAAUAAUCCAGGGUGUGUUGGUGAGCAUUGUUCAAUGAGGUAACCCAGGAAACAGCUUUCGGGGGUGGAAGCAUUGCCAUACCAAAUAUAUCUGAUUUAUUAGGUAGCUCACAAGAACUGAAACAAAUUUUUAACUUGUAGAAAGGCCAAAGAACAUAUGAAGAUUAAACAACAUCAAUUUUAAG